This 1120-nucleotide long non-coding RNA is filed under the name Paramuricea clavata. Lineage: Eukaryota; Metazoa; Cnidaria; Anthozoa; Malacalcyonacea; Plexauridae. The record is from RNAcentral.
GUCAUUUCCACGCGCCACGCAAAUUGCUCUGGCAAGUGUCAUUCGUCGUGUUUUCAGUCAAAAGCAUAGGAAAAACACCGUUCGAAAGUAGAAAAAUAAGUAUUUUUGCGAAGUUGCUCCACCGAACUUCAUUUUGGGAUUCAAAUUUGAAAUAUAAAUGGUAAGUGGUUAUUUUUAUGUAAAAAGAUAUACGUUUAUAGGCUAAAUACAAAGAAAAAAUAGUAUAAUACAAAUUACAAUCUCGGUGCUUGUGAUGUUUAUAUUGCCAAGAAGCAGAUUCCCAUUUCGCUAAAUUAAUGCGGGCCAAACGUAUUGCUUUCCUGUCUUUUACAUUAAUAAGAAAGCAUAGGUGCUGAUUUGAAACACGUCCAUCAGGUUCCAUGCAUGUAGCUUUGCGAUUUGUGAGCAAAAAUUAAAAGUUAAACUACCUAUGUUUUUAAUACUUUCUGUGCAACUAAUAACCACAUUCACAAAUAUAUUCUCCAGCAAAGAAACGUUUCUUUACGCCUUCAAAGGUCAGAGGUCUUUCACAUGCAGAAUAGCAGAGACUACUGUCAUUGACAUCCUUUAUCACAAAAUUAUGAUGGCAUAUUGGACAGCUAUGUUGGAUAAGGCACUUCCUUAAUAAAUAGCUUGACACAUAAGUUCAUGCAGACUAAGUUUUGUUCAAUUUCAUUUGUUUUGUAGUCGGUAUCUUCAACUGCUUGGAUUAGUGGUGGGCUUGUCUGAUCAUUUCCUGCAGAUAAAUCAGAUUGGCUAGGGUGAAAUGCAAUCAAAUAGGCAUCAGAAUCUUCAGCACAGCUGCCAAUUGAAAGUGGUGUCAAAAUAUUAUCUACAAAUAAUAUGCAAAAUGCUCUGGUGAACUGGAUGGGACUAAUUGGUUGUCACAAUCCCCCCCCCCCCUGCUGCCUAAUGAGGCCAAAGAAGUUCUCCAGAGGAUCUUGGUUGAGACAUCUUGUCAUGAGAAACUCCAAGGAAUGAUGUUGGUUAAGGUCUUGAAAUGUAAAUACUACAGUGUAAUAACUACUGACAGUGUAAAUACUACAACAGUGAAAUGUAAAUACAACAGUGUAAUUGGGAUUUAAAAAUACAAUUUUAAUAAAUGUUGUUUAUUUUAUGU